Lactuca sativa (garden lettuce) is the source of this 855-nucleotide long non-coding RNA. RefSeq lists it as uncharacterized. NCBI's taxonomy places the organism in Eukaryota, Viridiplantae, Streptophyta, Magnoliopsida, Asterales, Asteraceae. The record is from RefSeq and is a predicted model, not a curated record.
GAAAAGGAGAUACUAAUCGAAUGCCAAAGCAGUGAACGAAGACGGGAGAUGGAGGCUCGCAUGGUGCUCAAUCCGGAUUUGCUUGAUCGAUCGAUCGCGAAGGAGGAUGUCGUCUCCGGUGUUUGACGUAGCCGAAGAAGAUAAGGAUCGAAGCGGCGGGGGAAGAGGCGUACGAGGGUAGCGGCGUUGCUUCCGGUUCCUCGGUCUUGGCAGACCACGAAGAAGGCCGAAGGCAAGAGGAAGCUCGCAGCGACUAAUCAGGGGGUUUUUGGGGUCGAUUGCUUGCGAAGGCGGUGUUUCCGGGAUCGAAAGGGGCCGAAGAGAGGGAAAAGGAAAAGCAGCGAAGCGGCUGGGAUUUCGGAAGUGGAGCUCGACGGAAAAGAAGAAUGGUGCGAUGGGCGAAAAGGGAAAGAGAUUCAAGGAUUUUCAGAUCGAUGGUUUGGUAUGGCUGUUCUUGGCUGCUCUUCUCCUCGUUCGAUCGGAAGUAAACACGAAGGAAAUGGGAAACAGUUUGGAUUGAAGAGUAAGGACGAAGCAGCAACCGGGAAUGAAGAAGAUGGUGAUCAGAAGAUGUUGGAGUGUUCUCGUUUUGCUUGCACGAUUAAUGAAAGGGAAUGGCAGCAAGCAACCCAUUUCUGGUACGAUAGGAUAAUUGAAAAGUGUUAAGGAAACUUUUAGGCUUUCUUUUUAGUUAAAUGAAAACUCCAAACUUGUGCAAUUUAUUUGAACUAUUCGUUUAAUUAUUUGUGUAUUUUGUAUAAUGUAUUUGUUUCAUUAUGUAUGUAAUGUGUGUAUUUGUUUCAUUUGGUAUGUCUUAUUAAAUUAUAGUGGUUCAAUAAUUAUGUAUUUUGUGUA